UGUUGACCUCAGAUCAGGUAGGAAUACCCGCUGAACUUA
This 39-nucleotide ribosomal RNA is filed under the name Plectosphaerella sp. Its description in RNAcentral is "partial 28S ribosomal RNA". Lineage: Eukaryota; Fungi; Ascomycota; Sordariomycetes; Glomerellales; Plectosphaerellaceae. The record is from RNAcentral.